Molecule: transfer RNA, 84 nt
Filed under: Candidatus Azambacteria bacterium
Lineage: Bacteria; Candidatus Azamiibacteriota
Description: tRNA-Leu
Rfam family: tRNA
About the family: Transfer RNA (tRNA) molecules are approximately 80 nucleotides in length. Their secondary structure includes four short double-helical elements and three loops (D, anti-codon, and T loops). Further hydrogen bonds mediate the characteristic L-shaped molecular structure. tRNAs have two regions of fundamental functional importance: the anti-codon, which is responsible for specific mRNA codon recognition, and the 3' end, to which the tRNAs corresponding amino acid is attached (by aminoacyl-tRNA synthetases). tRNAs cope with the degeneracy of the genetic code in two manners: having more than one tRNA (with a specific anti-codon) for a particular amino acid; and 'wobble' base-pairing, i.e. permitting non-standard base-pairing at the 3rd anti-codon position.
Source: RNAcentral
GCCGAGGUGGCGGAACUGGUAUACGCAACGGACUUAAAAUCCGUGGCUCGCAAGAGCUUGUGGGUUCGAGCCCCACCCUCGGCA